Molecule: long non-coding RNA, 151 nt
Organism: Etheostoma cragini (Arkansas darter)
Lineage: Eukaryota; Metazoa; Chordata; Actinopteri; Perciformes; Percidae
Exons: 3
Source: RefSeq, a predicted model, not a curated record
UUUUGAAGAAAAUUGCAGUGUGACGUCACUCAAAGUGUUCAAAUUGUAAAGAUGAGAAAGUUAGUAUUUUCUGUGUUGGUGUUUGACGCUAGUGUUUUUACUCUCAGUGUGUUCUGAGUGACAGUGUGUGUUAUCUCAGUGAGGAUUGAUC